CUUUGCGUGUGGGGUGGGGGCACUGUCUCUGCCAAAUGUCCUCUCAGCAGGGGAACCGCCUCUCCCUGUGUGGCCUGAGGACCCCGGACUUCACCCUGCUCCUGGGGAUUCACCCUUCCUACCAGAGCACCACCAGAUUUUCUGCCUCCUGUUAAGCCAGUUUUGGUGAUUUACACAUUCAAGAAAUCUUCCACUUCUUCCGGAUAAAAUCAACCAGAAUGAGGCUGUAUCUACUAUCUACUUGUGGUUUAAAAUAUCUCCUUCA
Molecule: long non-coding RNA, 265 nt
Organism: Suricata suricatta (meerkat)
Lineage: Eukaryota; Metazoa; Chordata; Mammalia; Carnivora; Herpestidae
Exons: 2
Source: RefSeq, a predicted model, not a curated record